This is a long non-coding RNA of Homarus americanus (American lobster), 5326 nucleotides long. RefSeq lists it as uncharacterized. NCBI's taxonomy places the organism in Eukaryota, Metazoa, Arthropoda, Malacostraca, Decapoda, Nephropidae. The transcript has 2 exons. The record is from RefSeq and is a predicted model, not a curated record.
UGGGUCAAUAAUUUUUUAUUGUAUUUUUGUAGGAGGGGGAAGUGCCUCAAUAAGUCGGAACUCGGCAAGGCCAGAGUCCCACAUGUGCCGAGUUAUCAAGGGUUUACUGUACAGGAAAUACAUACAUUUACAGGUAGAGGAGGACUGCUUAUUUAGCAUCUUGGUCUGGUUUCUAUAUAUUGUUACAGUUUAUUUAGCCAGAAGAACACACAUACAGAGUCGAUUAAAAAUCAUAAUAUUAACACGGCUGAGCCAGUUAGCCUGAGCUCUCUUGAGGGUAGUUCUGCCCAUUCUGCAAGUUUUACUACGAUGUAAACAAACAGUGGUGCCACAUCUCACAAAACACGGCAGCCACUGAACCCUUAUAAAUGGAGGCAACUGUACCACACUGCUGUACUGUUCUCUUGUUGAGCACAUCUGUUAACACCUCCCAUGUACUGUUGUAUAAUACAGUACCAGGGCAGAUGGUUUAUCACCAUGUCUAUCCCUUUUUUAUAUUUAUUACGAACACAGUAUUAUAGUACCUGCAGUCACUCCCAUUGGUUGACAACAUGAUUACCCUUCCAGCAUAGUUUUGUGAGUUGUCUGUGUUUCAGUUUUAUUCUCUUUAUGCCAGAAGGCAGUUUGUGUAUUGGGUCGAACAUUACCAUUGUGUAUGCUGCGACCUUAACCCUGGUGCGGGAAGAUGACACCACUUACUGGAUACCUGCGGCCAUUUUGUAGUCGGGGAGAGCUGGCGAACCUCAUGGGGUGUUUAAUAUGUUUAUAGACAGCUCUACACUCUGGUGAAACUUUACGGUAAAUAGGAACAUGGCCAGAGUUAAUAGGAGUUCUUACCCUAGAUACUUAGCUGAAUAUACUAAUAUGAGUCACUCAGUCUGGCCUCAGUUACAAGAGGAUAUUUCAAGAUCAGUUCUUCAUUUUUCCCUCAUAACCAUUGUAUGUGUGUCAUGUGCUGCUACUUCUGUCUCGGCCACUCCAUCAUGUUUUUGCUUGGUCAUCCCAUAAUUUUGUUUCCUUGGCCACCUCAUCAUGUGUUUGCUCAGCCGCCCCAUCAUAUUUUUGCUAGGCCUCCCCAUCAUGUUGUUUGCUAGGCCACCCCAUCACGUGUUUGCUCCACCACUACUUGUUUGUCCUCUGUUGGUACCUGUACGUGAUUGUGUUAUUACCUGUCUUACCUUAGGCCUCCAUUCAAACCUCUGAUACCUUCUUGCCUAGACUCUGCUGCUUGUCAGUAAUUGGGGUACAGCCUGAGUCUGUGAUCGAUGAACAAUGUGAUAUAUAUGUGCUUAAGUUUUGUGGACCAAUGUACAGUCAUGUGAGGUAUUCCAAUGAGGGUUAUGUCACUACCAAAAUGUCAACCCACAUUCUAGGUCAUUUAUAACUGUUGACUGAAUAUAAGGAGUUGUCUUAAGUUUUUGGUUGUGACAUAUAUUUGGAAUGCCAUUUUGCGCGAUUGUGCAAUUUGGACAUUUGAGAUUCCAAUGCGAAUCUUAAAGCAAAAAUAUUAGGUUAAAUUAUUUAGAUUUUCUGCACUUUUCCUUCCGUAAAUACAUUCUUACGACCUUGAGCAUUCCACAGUAUGUUCAGAUUUUAUGGAUAAAUUAUUAAAAUUGAUCCUUAUAUGUAAAACAUCUAGUUAUAUUUAGGUAUUAUUAUGUAUUAAAAUUCUAUACAACCUUUCUGGCCCUGUAGUAACUCCCUGGAUAAUGGGGCCAUUAACACAGAGGUGCUUUUGUUCCCUAAUACAAACUGUAUACUACUACAGGUAUAAUCACUGUUGAUAAUAAAUGAUGUUCCUAUCAGAAAUAAUUAUCACUGAACAUUUCAUGCAAUAAGAUAAUUUAAAUGCCCAAAAGGCACGGUUGUAAUUGGAUACAUUAAAUCGUUUCACUUGUUCAAUUGUCACUACUUUCCAGUACAGUACAGUAGUAUGUAAUAUUUUGUGCAUCUGUUAAGUUAUUGAGCAUUCCAGGUACAGUUAACCUCUUUGUGGCUGUUGCUCACUCUCUCUAGGUUCUAGAAUAUUUACCAUGCACAUUCCAGUAGUAAGUUAUUAAGUAGACAUUCCUUCAACUCCCAUCUGUAUAUAUUCCUCAUUAACAACUAAGUGCCAACAUUUUUUUUUCAAGUCUUUAUUACCUGAUGAAAAAUGUCUCUUUGUCGAUAAAUUUGACCCAUUGGUAUAAGUAAUACUUUGAGUUAGGUCUAGUUGAUACGGUACCUUUCGUUGUAAGAAAACACAUCUUUAUUUUCCAUCGUGCCGGCUGUAGCUUCAUCAGGUUGGCUAGGUCAUCAGAUUGGCUAGGUCAUCAGGUUGGCUAGGUCAUCAGGUUGGCUAGGUCAUCAGGUUGGCUAGGUCAUCAGAUUGGCUAGGUCAUCAGAUUGGCUAGGUCAUCAGGUUGGCUAGGUCAUCAGGUUGGCUAGGUCAUCAGGUUGGCUAGGUCAUCAGGUUGGCUAGGUCAUCAGGUUGGCUAGGUCAUCAGGUUGGCUAGGUCAUCAGGUUGGCUAGGUCAUCAGGUUGGCUAGGUCAUCAGGUUGGCUUGGUCAUCAGGUUGACUAGGUAGAGAAAGUAUAAUGGGAAGUUCAAGCAGUGAAUCCCUCCUAUGUGAAUGAACCACACAUGUUCUUAUUACUGUCCAUCCUUAGACACCCUCACCCUUAGCCAACCAUAGAUGAGUUAUGUUUGUCAUAUAUUUGAAUGUUUGUGUUUUCUUCAGAGCCGUGGGUCAUUUUGUAGAGAUGACGAGAAAAAUGCACAUACGCGCAUAUACACUCACUCAAUCACUGCACACACUCAAUCACAACACACACACUUACCUCUCCCCAAAAAUCACCAACCUCUUACAUAGGCCGCGAACAAUAACUGCGGAAAACCUCUUAAAACUGGGGUAGGAAUCGGAAGAUGAAGGAUUCUGAUAAUUGAAUGACACUAUUGGUGAGAGAGCAGACAUUUACCUUAUAAAACAUACAACAACAAAGAGAGUUUGUUCCAGUUUCUAUUCAUCUUCCUUCCUCAAGAUCCAGGUGUUAAGAAUAUGUAUUUGUAAAGUUUUUGUUAGUGUCCUCCAGGUGUCUUUUAUAUGAUGUCUUUGUUAGGGGAUUAUUUUUGCUGCACUGAUCAUAAUAAUAAUAAUACAGGGCAUUAGGGGCAUUGAAAAAGAAUGCCCUAAAUUUAAAUGGUUUUGCAUUAUAUUAAAAUGUGGGCAUUCUUAUAUGAUGACCUUGUACAGUAAUAUGUUCUUGAUGAUGUAAGAAAUAAUAUAUUGUGCCAUCCCCAUAAAUGAAUCGGUACUAUGCUCUCCUGUCACUCAUAUGCUCUGUUAUUUCCUGGCUGACCGGUUCUCCUCACUUACAUUACAUUACUUCCUUUACCCGUCUUCCUCCCAAGAGGUAUUCAACAAUUAUUUUCCAUUUAUUACGUUCAGUUGCCUCCACACGAACGAACCACAGCCUGGGAGUGUGAGGUCUCGGGUAUGAGAUGUGGCAUCGCAGAGCCAUAGUCGGGUCUGAAUGAAUACGGGUGUGAAACAGUGAGAUUACCUUGUUUGUGAUAAGAUACAAGCAACAUCGGGGGUGAACAGAUAAACACACCCUAUAAUGUGUUAUGCAGCAUUGUUGUGUAUCCACAGCCGAGUGACUAGGACUGAACUACGGGGAAUCAACAAACAGGGUAAUCCACGGUUUCAUGCCCACGACAUCUUGUAAAUGUGCUCACACACACUCCUAGACCGAGGUGAAGAACUCUCAACAAAGACCAAACAAUGGCCACCAAUAACUCUGGACCUCACUCCUCCCGAUGUCUUCCUCUGGGAUCACCUAAAAUCUUUCAUUUACCAAAACUGUCCAAGAACCAUUUAGGUGACCCAAGAGGAAACCUUGACUAUUCGACAGGCCCUUAUCACCCUGAGAAAAAAAAUACUACUACUCUGGUGAGAAAGCCUGUAUAUCAAUCCCUUUUCUUUGGUUACUGAAAAUUAGUGCCUUUAACUGUGCAAUGUCUCCAUAGAGUACUGUAGUAGGGGAAUUGAAGCCAAUGGAGGGGGUGUGGCCUCCAGCAAGAGGCAUAACAUGUCUACAUAAAAAAGGCUGUUUUAUGUAGACAAACUGUAAAACAUUAAGAAUAACUAACAGGAGAAAGUUGAAGGUAUAUUUAAAGAGUAAAACGGUGGAACUUGGUAAACUCACCCAUCCCAAGAGAGUCUGUGUGUCCAUGACCAUAUAGACCAUUUUCAGAGGUCUAGACACUGAGUGUACACGGUGGUGUAGCAGCUGAUACAACCCAAACAGACGUCGCUGCUCCGCCUCUGUGUGAUACCUAAGAAAAUUGUGGGGGCAAGAAAUCACAUUUAGUUGACAGAGACUGAAGUGAUGGAACCAGUGAACACCCAAUGACACAUCCUGCUAUGAUGGGUGUCAUAAGGUACAAUGUUCUGUGGAGGGAUGCAAUAUUCAGAAGAGUAACACAUCUGUUACCAAAGCAUCAUUUAGUCAAUUCCACCAAGAGCCUAAUGUGCCAUUAGCACACCAACGUCCACGUAAUAUUUUCCUCGGGGGACAAUUACUUCAUGAACCCUGUUUUAUCUCCUUCGGUGCUAAAAAGAAAUCCAGCCCAAACUCUAUAUAACUUUAAGUGAUAAUAUUGGGGGGGGGGGCGCUCAAUUGGUGUGAAUUAAUCAGAAUAACAGAAAAAAAUAAUCUUUAAACAAAGAACUCACCCAGGCAGCAUCAACAGGAACACACUCCAUCCAGGGUUUCCCCACAGGCAUGCAUUGCUAAAAUCUUUCCAAAACAACAACACUUUUACAUAAACUGAUAUUUAUAGACUUACGGAGCUGUGUACUCUGGGCAAGUGAACUGUGCAGUUGUCUUGGACUUGUAGAGGAAGUGUCUUAGUUCAGGUGCCCCAAUUGCCUUCACCGUGUAAAAAGAUGUACGAAUUGCCGUAUUUAUUCCUUCUAGACAAUGGUGUCUCCGCAACCGCUGGAAUAAUUGAGAGAAAAUAUAACCCAACUGAAAAUUUUUUAAUGUAAAAGAAAUAUAUAAGUCAUCUUACUUUACCACUAAUAAUACACAUUGCUGUUUUAACAUUUAAUUGAUGUACAUAUAUAAUUUUUUACUGGUAUAACACUUAGUGGCCAGAUAGAUGCCUGAUACUGUAAUCCAAGUCUUAAAAUGUUGCAGUUAGUAAUUUAACCCACCCCUCUCGACACUAUGCUAUUCCACAUAAAGGUUGUUCCUUCACUGGUAAGACCAUUUAAUACUGUACUGUACUCCAGUCUAACAUUUUACAACAGAUCUGAAAUUAAAUAUAUACUUACAUCAA